This 254-nucleotide unclassified non-coding RNA is filed under the name uncultured Acidimicrobiia bacterium. Its description in RNAcentral is "contains 16S-23S intergenic spacer region". It matches the Rfam family "Bacterial small subunit ribosomal RNA", at positions 524 to 776 of the family's 1533-position model. The record is from RNAcentral. Lineage: Bacteria; Bacillati; Actinomycetota; Acidimicrobiia.
CACGUAGGGGCCGAACGUUGUCCGGAUUUAUUGGGCGUAAAGGGCUCGUAGGCGGUUUGACAAGUCGGUCGUGAAAGCCCGGGGCUCAACCCCGGGACGCCGGUCGAAACUGUCAUGACUAGGGUCCGGUAGAGGUGAGUGGAAUUCUCGGUGUAGCGGUGAAAUGCGCAGAUAUCGAGAGGAACACCAGUAGCGAAGGCGGCUCACUGGGCCGGUACCGACGCUGAGGAGCGAAAGCGUGGGGAGCAAACAGG